ACAUAAAUGCCUGUACUGCGUGUUUUAGUUGCAAAACUUAAAUGUAAGAAACAUAUUCAACUAAAGUUAUGAUUACAAAGAACUUUUCGAAUGUGUUAAAUUGAUUGUAUUAAUAUCUGCCGGCAGUGGGAUAAUGGAAUUUGCAUCAUUACGUCAUUGUGAGUGACGUCAUUACGUAAAAGAACUGGUGAAUUGGAUUUUUGAACUGGUUCAUUAAAUUGAACUGUCCGAAAGAACCAGUUCGCGGAAAAGAACCGAACUUCCCAUCACUACUAUGUAGUACAUUGCAGAGUGCAUAGGAAUGAGCCUCGUUGUCUUUUCAAAUGACAGUCCUGCUAUUCCUCAACAAGGUACACGAGUCUGGAUCAGAACCUAAUCAACACAAACAUCUCCUCAUUCAUUUCUGCAUUGUGCCUCAUGUUCGGGAGCUACUACUAUUUUAAUAUCCAUUAUCCAUCUGAGCUGGCUUCAACUCUGGAGUUUCUUCGAAGUUUUUUUCUGAAUAAACCCAGAAAAGGGAACUAAAGUACAGAAUAAAAACUCUAAGCAGCCUCUCAACUUGAACCCUUGAGUCCUCACCCUGAUACAGGAAGUCUCCGAUCACGAGUGGCGUUAAGCCUGAAUAUGGACUCUUUCUGUUGACUCUAACUGUUUGAGAAGAGGUACUGUUUUCACUUUGUUAAAUCCACAAUGUAUUAUGGUUAAGGCACUAUGUAAUUUUAAACUCUUAAAGGUGCAUUGUAACUCUUUCUGUUAGAGGGUCCAAAUGUACCUUGUACUUAUUCAAAUAUAACUGUUUUUUAUGCAAAGAAAUACCAACCUGCAUUCUUACUGUAAGGGGGCUCAUCUCUGCACAGAUAUGACCUCUAACUUGGCCUAUUGGUAUCACCUGAUUGUCUCUAUGGAGAUCGAUAAGUCUUAUGCCAUACUGUGGAACAUUCCAGACAGGGAGAGUGUGGGUGGUUGUUGCUGUGAAUUGGGUUGUUGUGCGCUUGGCACUUAAAGUUUGUCUCAAAAAAUGUCCAGAUUUAAAGAGGCUGAUCUUCUGGAGUAUUUCAACUUGGAUUCAGUCAGAGUUAAAAAAAAAAAAAAAAAGGGGGGAUUCACACUCCACACACAAACUGUUCAUCCGGAAGCUAGCUUCUUUGUAUCUUGUAUAAAAACGGGCCAAUUGUUUUAUGCCAUACUGUGAGUUGUUGUGCGCCUGGCACUUAAACUUUGUUAAAAAAAAAAAAAAACUUUUCAAACUUAGUUUGAAAAAAAAUGCAUCCAGUUGUUUACAACUAUUUUGAUGGCUGUUAAAAAAAAUUUUUUUGCAAAAGUGAUAUUUUCCUCUCUUGUCUUAUUUCAAGAUGUAUUUUUAAAAUUUACCACAAUAUAACUUCAUUAUUUAAACAUAAAAAUACAGCAUAUUAUGGAUAUUUUAUGUAUAAUAUACAGGACAUCUCCAUUUAAAAUUCAAAGUUUUACUGUUACCAGUUUAAAUUAGAUUUUGUUUGAUAUUUCCCUGUUAAUUUGAUAAUUUAUUGAUGCACAAUAAGCAAUUAUUACAUGUAUAUUUAUAUACAACACAGUUAUGUGAAUUUAACAAAAAUUGUAGAAUUGUAGACUUAAUUUUUUAAUGUGAUGUGAUCAUUUCAUUCACUGUAAAUCAAUUUACAUAUUUUGUCCAUAAAGGUCAUCUACGCUGCUGCUUUACUUUUUUUUUUUUUAACAGAAAUUCUCUGGUAACCACAGCUGCCACCCUUUUCCUGUAAAAACGAGUUUGUUUGUUUUUUACAGUGUGCAAGUCAUGCUUUUUUUGAAGAAAGAACAUGAUGAUUUAAGAUGAUUAAGAGAUACUACUGGAGGAUUUGCAUGCUUGUCAGAUAAACAGAUUUUUCCCCCAAAACUUUUCCAGUGUGUUUUUAUAUAUGAUUAUCCUUAGAAAGUAUACAGACACACUACCUUUACUGCUUACUUAUGAACUAUUAAAAAGCUUUGUUGUGUGGUGACUUGCACAUGAAUAAUAGAAUAAAAUAAUUUUGUCAUUGUACAGCUGUACAACGAAAUUGAGGCUCUCACAUAAAAGCACACACAUUCACAAACACAUAGAAUGUAAACAGAUAUAAUCGUAGGUGUAAACAGACAGAUGUAAACAGGUAAAAUAUAACAUACAGAAUUAUACAUAACAUACAAAAUAACUACAUACAGAAAGUGCAGAAUUCGGCAAGUGCAAAUGUAAGCAAAAAUGUACAGUCGGAGAAUAAAAGUAUAUUAAAGCACACCUUUAUUAAUUUAUUUUGUCUGAAAUUUCAGGUUACUUACGUAAAGAGUAAAAUUUGUUGUACUACAAUCCAACACUAGAGGGAGACAUACACAUUUUGGUUUCCCUUCAGACAGGUGGCAUAUUUUUGGCCAGCAUAUAGAUAUAAUUCUAAGCCUCACUGUUUCUAAGCUGCUUGUGCAACUCUGCUAUUUUAGAUGCACUGUCUUCCAAAUAUAUUACCCCAACUUCAGUUCUGUUUUCCUAUCUUCAUACAUAUCUACUUUUAAAAUGUGGCAUAUUUACAAUGUUUGUGUUUUGAAACACAAUAAUAAACUUGCUUGGACAUCCUGAAUGCGUCUUGCAUUUUACAACAUCUUACAUACUGUAUAACUGAGAUGGAUGUUCAUGAAUAUGCCUUUUUGUGUUCAUUCUAGGAGGCAUAGGGAAAUGUAAUUUAGGCUAGAUUGUGUGUGGCACUUAGUUUAAUGCACUAUCUGGGUCAUUGGAUUUAAAAUGGCACUGGACCAGUGUUGUGUAUUUUUCUUAACAGGCAGGGUAGCUGAAAGCCUUCUUUGCUAUUUUUUUCUGAGUAAGUACAUUACCCUGAUCGAGGUGAGAGGACAGUAAGUCUGUGAAAUGCUUGUCUUUAAGCCAGUCUAACAAGCUCAUUAUCCCAUAAAGGGAGCUACAGUUUUUCAUUUGCAACUCAGAGAUUCUGAACUCCUUACAGAGACAUCAGCAAUAUGGGAUUCCUAAAGGAAGCUGUCAUUUUUUCCUAGCUAAAAUAUUAACUGCAUGUGCUCCCAUAUCUGCCUUCAAAAGAUUUUUUUUUUUUUUUACCAAUAAAGAAGUGAUACCUUCAGUAGAGCUUGUAUGGUCACAGUUUAGCCAAAUUACAGUGAAUGUAAGUUUAAAACAUAAGCCUUAAACAACUAAAAUAUUUACUUUAGAUUGUCAUUAAUAUACUAAUAACGAACUAAUCAUAUUUUACUAGUAUGUUAUAUAGCAUUAUGAUUUGCUGUAUAGGUACCUCAGAUAACAGAUGUCUGAUGACAGCUACCUGUCAGAUCCCCGGACGGAGGUGGAUUGGAGACAGACCUGUACGCAGGAUAGCUUCAAAUGAAAGGGGUUUAAUACAUAAAGAAGACAAACAUAAUCCACACUACACAGGGAACUAACGAGACUAAUUACAACAUGCAACGCGGCUCACAUAUAUACACAAACGGAACAUCAAAACAAUGGGGAACAGAUGUGAUGACCGGGAGGAGUAGGCGAAGGCGGGGCAAUCACGUGACACAAACAAACACAAACACAAAUGGCCAAAAGUCUGCGCGGAUCCCUGACAGAUCCACGCUGAUCCCUGACACUACCUUUAUUGCCCAGUAAAUAAUAAUAUAUUUACUGAAAACCUGAAAAGUUAUCUUUAUUAUUAUUUUAAUUAAAAUUUUAUCUCUGUUAUUUCUUGCAGAUAUAAAAGUAAAAUGAUCAAAUUAAUAUGGACUGUCUACAUCAAAGUGUUUACUGGUGUUAUUGACUGAUUUUCAUUUGUGAGGUGUUGGUGAAGAAAUUAAAAAAGAAAUCAAGCAGAUUGUGAAUAGAUGAGAGUUUGAAUGAAAAAUAUUCCAGCUGUACAAGUCAAGGGCCCAUCAAGCAAGUUGUCGUAGCAACCACAUAUGAGUUUAUGGAAAGAGCCUUUAGCAUGGACAAAACAUUUUGUUUUGAUAGACAGUAAACAUUAGUUACGUCAUUUAGUUUUAUGUAAGUGGACAUCAUCUGAAUUCUGAAUAAGCACUAGCUUAUUUUUUAUUUUGAUUAGAACUGCAUACAUGUAGUAAUACCCACCGCUAUCUAUGUUAAGACCUUAUUUCCUUAUGCACCCAUCCCAGAAUAAACAAGAAACAACAGAAUAAACAAGAAUUUAAGGGGUGAAAAUAGAUACAAAUCUGCAUUUAUUUCAGAGAGGAGUUAAAGGGUCUGAAAAUGGAUCUAGAAUGCAGUAAGAGUAAUGAUGUAGUGUUUUUAAUAUUGUUAAUUGCUUACUUGCAUUGGUCCUUCUUAAAUGGCUUCUUAUUUCAGCACCUGGUUUAACUGUGAAUGUCAUUGAACAGUUUUGAAUGUCAGGCAAUACAGUUACCUGUAUCAGAGUAACAGAUGCAGUUAAAUUUUUUUAUGUGAAAAUGCAAAGUCACAAUCAGGAAUUUCCAUACAGCAAUUAUACCUCAAAAUGGAACGAAAAGGCAGGUAUUUUAAAUGUGUAUAGGAAAAGGAUAUAGGAAAGUAUACUUAAAAAUCAUUUUAUAGUUUUUGCUUGUUUUACACUGCUUCACACUGACUGCACUUUUUAUCCAAAUCACUUUUACUCCUGUUUUAUUCUUUUUAACAUAUUUUAAACUGUUUUUAUUAAA
This is a long non-coding RNA of Tachysurus fulvidraco (yellow catfish), 4653 nucleotides long. RefSeq lists it as uncharacterized. The record is from RefSeq and is a predicted model, not a curated record. The transcript has 3 exons. NCBI's taxonomy places the organism in Eukaryota, Metazoa, Chordata, Actinopteri, Siluriformes, Bagridae.